CAUUCGGUGUACAACGUUGCAUAGCCCUGCACACUCAAACCUGUGCUUCAUUUCCUUGCAAAUGCUUUUUUUAUAAAUAUCGUGGCCGUGUUUUUGAGGUUAAAAGAAAACAAUUCUCGGUGCAGCCCAUAUUGAGACACAAUAAAGCACAAACAAUUCAUUUAUUUUUUUCAGAUGUUGCAUGUCAAAGGCGGCGGCUGAAAAGAAAUGCAGUACCUACUGAAAACCUGCCAAAGACAUCAUGCUAUGAUGAAAAAAGGAUGCUCGUAUGAAAGAGAUUUCACUGGCAAGACUUCGCCGACGUACAUGUCGGUCAGCCAGACAUGAAUCAAGCAAACAGUCUGCGUCCUCCCCAUUGGCAGCAAAGGAAGCCCAUGCACCACCAGGACGACCACCAUGGACACUCUCGCAUCCCCUGACGGCUACAGCAUGGUCAAAAUAAGUGAAAAAGAAAAUAUGGACGAUCUCCCAUCCCCUAACAGUAUGGACCAAAGCCUUGAAAACGCAACAAGUGACAAGGACAUAGCAAAUAUGGUAAUUUAUUUUCCUAUAUCUUUUCGAAACGUGGGAGGCCAAGCUAACCCUCGGGGACCUGGAAGACCAGCGACAACUCGUCGCCAGGGCCAAGAGGGCAGUCGAAGCCAGAGGGUUCCUGGACUAAGGAGCCCUCCCACCUUAGGGUGAUACCCGGCCUCGCUCGGGACACUGUUUCGUUUAAUAAACGUUUCUCUCUCUCUCUCUCUAUAUAUAUAUAUCUUUGUGAUGUGGCAGCCGUCUUUA
Long non-coding RNA from Dermacentor albipictus, 780 nucleotides. RefSeq lists it as uncharacterized. NCBI's taxonomy places the organism in Eukaryota, Metazoa, Arthropoda, Arachnida, Ixodida, Ixodidae. The record is from RefSeq and is a predicted model, not a curated record.